AUACGGAGGAUGCAAGCGUUAUCCGGAUUUAUUGGGUUUAAAGGGUGCGUAGGCUGUUCGGAAAGUCAGGGGUGAAAGCCCGGCGCCUAACGCCGGAACUGCCUUUGAUACUUCCGAGCUGGAAUACGGAUGCCGUGGGAGGAAUGAGUAGUGUAGCGGUGAAAUGCAUAGAUAUUACUCAGAACACCGAUUGCGAAGGCAUCUCACGAAUCCGUCAUUGACGCUGAGGCACGAAAGCGUGGGGAUCAAACAGGAUUAGAUACCCUGGUAGUCCACGCAGUAAACGAUGAAUACUAGGUGUCGGGUUUCUAUAGAGAUUCGGUGCCGCAGCAAACGCAAUAAGUAUUCCACCUGGGGAGUACGUUCGCAAGAAUGAAACUCAAAUGAAUUGGCGGGG
This 397-nucleotide ribosomal RNA is filed under the name uncultured bacterium. RNAcentral describes it as "partial 16S ribosomal RNA". It matches the Rfam family "Bacterial small subunit ribosomal RNA", at positions 523 to 918 of the family's 1533-position model. The record is from RNAcentral.